This 144-nucleotide small nuclear RNA is filed under the name Xiphophorus maculatus (southern platyfish). RNAcentral's name for it is "U1 spliceosomal RNA (ENSXMAG00000025709.1)". It matches the Rfam family "U1 spliceosomal RNA", at positions 20 to 166 of the family's 166-position model. Rfam says of the family: U1 is a small nuclear RNA (snRNA) component of the spliceosome (involved in pre-mRNA splicing). Its 5' end forms complementary base pairs with the 5' splice junction, thus defining the 5' donor site of an intron. There are significant differences in sequence and secondary structure between metazoan and yeast U1 snRNAs, the latter being much longer (568 nucleotides as compared to 164 nucleotides in human). Lineage: Eukaryota; Metazoa; Chordata; Actinopteri; Cyprinodontiformes; Poeciliidae. The record is from Rfam by way of RNAcentral.
AAAUUGAAAUUGAAAAAAUUGGAUCGCUCAGGGUGAGGAUCAGCCAUUGCACUGCGGCCAUCUGACCUCUGUGAAUUCUCCACAUGGGAGAAUCUCAACUGCACAAUUUAUGGUAGUGGGGGACUGCGUUCGCGCUCUCCCCUG